This is a non-coding RNA of Cricetulus griseus (Chinese hamster), 300 nucleotides long. Lineage: Eukaryota; Metazoa; Chordata; Mammalia; Rodentia; Cricetidae. The record is from Rfam.
UGAUGUGAGGGAGACCUGAGUACAUUUGUCACCCCACUCAUCACCAGAGUUGAUUCAGCUCAUCUGGCUGGCUGCAAGGGUGACUGCUUCCUCCAUUACCACUCUGCAACUCAUUCCUGAAGUUUUGCACUCGGAGGGCAACCUUCUCCAAAUACAGGAAAACAGUCUCCAGUCCAGGGGAUCUGAGUAGCUUCCCUCCCCACCUAGAACCUCUCAAAACCCAAGAAGAUAUGAGUUCUGAAAUACCUGGUCCAAACUGUUCAGGGAAGCAAUGUUCAGCCUGUGUUUCUGUCUGUUGAA